AUUGAACGCUGGCGGCAGGCCUAACACAUGCAAGUCGAACGAGUGGCGGACGGGUGAGUAAUGUCUGGGAAACUGCCUGAUGGAGGGGGAUAACUACUGGAACCGGUAGCUAAUACCGCAUACCAUCAGAUGUGCCCAGAGGGGAUGAGCUAGUUGGGGGGGUAACGGCUCACCAAGGCGACGAGCCCUAGCUGGUCUGAGAGGAUGACCAGCAACACUGGAGCUGAGACACGGUCCAGACUCCUACGGAGGGCAGCAGUGGGGAAUAUUGCACAAGUGGCGCAAUCCUGAUGAAGCCAUGCCGCGUGUAUGAAGAAGGCCUUCGGGUUGUAAAGUACUUUCAGCGGGGAGGCGUUACCCGCAGAAGAAGCACCGGCUAACUCCGUGCCAGCCGCCGCGGUAAUAC
This 406-nucleotide ribosomal RNA is filed under the name uncultured bacterium. RNAcentral's name for it is "partial 16S ribosomal RNA". It matches the Rfam family "Bacterial small subunit ribosomal RNA", at positions 30 to 526 of the family's 1533-position model. The record is from RNAcentral.